GUGCUUGCUGUGGCAGCAUAUAUACUAACAUUGGAACGAUACAGAGAAGAUUAGCAUGGCCCCAGCGUGAGGAUGAAAAUUCACGCAAAUUCGUGAACUGUUCCAUAUUUUU
Nycticebus coucang (slow loris) is the source of this 112-nucleotide small nuclear RNA. Lineage: Eukaryota; Metazoa; Chordata; Mammalia; Primates; Lorisidae. The record is from RefSeq and is a predicted model, not a curated record.